This 468-nucleotide ribosomal RNA is filed under the name uncultured bacterium. RNAcentral describes it as "partial 16S ribosomal RNA". It matches the Rfam family "Bacterial small subunit ribosomal RNA", at positions 28 to 507 of the family's 1533-position model. The record is from RNAcentral.
GACGAACGCUGGCGGCGUGCUUAACACAUGCAAGUCGAACGGAGAGGACCUGCUUUUAUGUUCUGCUCAAAUAGCGAACGAGUGAGUAACACGUGAGUGACCUACCCUUGACUUAGGGAUAACUUCAGGAAACUGGGCCUAAUGCCGGAUAUGCUCUCCCGCUACAUGGUGGGAGUUGGACAGUUUAGGCGGUUGGGGAUGGAUUCGCCGCUUAUCGGCUUGUGUGUGGGGUAGGGGCUUACCAGGGCUUGGCCGGGUAGCCGGCCCGAUAGGGGGACCGGCCACAUUGGAACUGGGAUACGACCCGGACUCCACUGGGAGGCAGGAGUGGGGAAGAGGGCACAACGGGAGGAAGCCUGAUGCAGCAACGCCGCGUGCGGGAUGACGGCCUUCGGGUUGGAAAGCGAAUUCGCCUGUGACGAAGCGUGAGUGACGGUAAUGGGUAAAGAAGCACCGGCUAACUACGUG